UCCACAGCCACACCCUCCCCUACAGAAGCCCUGACAGCACAGCCCCUCACCAUGGACUGGAGCUGGAGAGCCCUCUUCCUGGUGGCAGGAGCUACUGGUGUCCACUGUCAAGUGCAGCUGGAGCAGUCUGGGGCUGAGGUGAGGAAGCCUGGGGCCUCAGUGAAGGUCUCCUGCAAGGCUUCUGGAUACACCUUCACCAGCUACACUAUUGACUGGGUGCAGCAGGCACCAGGGCAAGGGCUUCAGUGGAUGGGGUAUGUUAACCCUAACAAUGGUGGCACCAGAUAUGCACAGAAGUUCCAAGGUAGAGUCUCCAUGACUGCAGACAAGUCCACCAGCAUAGCCUACAUGGAGCUGAGCAGCCUAAGAACUGAGGACACAGCCGUGUAUUACUGUGUGAGAGGCACAGUGAGGGAAAGUCAGUGUGAACUCAGACACAAACCUCUCUGUGGGAGACAAGAGGCCUGGACUGCAGGGGAUGCUUAGGACAC
Non-coding RNA from Phyllostomus discolor (pale spear-nosed bat), 491 nucleotides. The record is from the annotation of a RefSeq genome assembly. Lineage: Eukaryota; Metazoa; Chordata; Mammalia; Chiroptera; Phyllostomidae.